RNAcentral lists this ribosomal RNA (274 nucleotides) under uncultured bacterium. RNAcentral's name for it is "partial 16S ribosomal RNA". It matches the Rfam family "Bacterial small subunit ribosomal RNA", at positions 523 to 796 of the family's 1533-position model. The record is from RNAcentral.
CUACGGAGGGAGCAAGCGUUAUUCGGAAUCACUGGGCGUAAAGGACGCGUAGGCGGGUUUGUAAGUCAGGUGUGAAAUCCUACAGCUCAACUGUAGAACUGCACUUGAAACUACAGACCUAGAGUAUGGAAGGGGCAGAUGGAAUUAGUGGUGUAGGGGUAAAAUCCGUAGAUAUCACUAGGAAUACCGAAAGCGAAGGCGAUCUGCUGGGACAUUACUGACGCUGAGGCGUGAAAGCGUGGGGAGCAAACAGGAUUAGAUACCCCAGUAGUCC